Non-coding RNA from Phrynosoma platyrhinos (Desert horned lizard), 73 nucleotides. NCBI's taxonomy places the organism in Eukaryota, Metazoa, Chordata, Lepidosauria, Squamata, Phrynosomatidae. The record is from the annotation of a GenBank genome assembly.
GCCAGCAUGGCAUAGUGGUUUGAGGGCUGGACUAGGACACGGGAAGACCAGGGUUCGAAACCCUGCUCAGCCA